This 516-nucleotide ribosomal RNA is filed under the name Triticum aestivum (bread wheat). Its description in RNAcentral is "partial small subunit ribosomal RNA". The record is from RNAcentral. Lineage: Eukaryota; Viridiplantae; Streptophyta; Magnoliopsida; Poales; Poaceae.
AUGGCGAUGACUCAUGAAGAAGAGCUGUCCGAGCUGGCUGCCAAGGUAACGGUCUACGCGUUCUGCGCGGCCGUCAUCCUCGCCUUCAUCGCUGACCAGGCCUGUGCCGGCGGUUGGGGCUGCGCCCCGGCCCACGUCGUGUCGGUGAUAUGGGACAACCUAGCCAUACUCGUCCUGCUUCUCUUGCCGCUUGCGGUCGUGCUCUUCUUCCUCCGCGCCGCCAGCUGCAGCAGCAGGGCCCCGGACGCUGACAGUCUCAGCGUCAAGGAUGUUGAGGAGCGACCUUCUGACCUUUCCUUGCCUCUUCUGUUGCUUUUGAUUGUGGCGAUACUCGGAGCCCUCUCUUUCGCUUUUUACAUGUAUGGAUAUCCAGACUUGUCCAAUCUUUACGGCCACAUGGCUCUCUUGGUCAUUUUCCUGUGUGAAGCCUUCGUCUAUGUUCGUGCUGCACUGUCGCUGUGGAAGAUGAAGAUGAACCCCACUCCCAAGCCCAGCAACAUGGUGGCUGCAGAGUAA